GAGACAAGCAUAUGACUACUGGCAGGAUCAACCAGGUAGCAUUCCGUUUCGACUUUUGGCGAUGCAUGGACGGCAUCCAAAACAACACCAAUUGUCAUUCGCACGUAGCGUGGGACGCUUUUUUAGAGGGGCAAAUAGAGAUCGAUGGUGCCUCGUACCCACAAGGUACUCCAUGACCGAGAGAACGAACGUGGUGCCAUUGUUCCAACAACCCAUGAAACAUUCGAUCCAUGAGGUUGGAGCAUGACAUUUGGUUCACGGUUCACCUUACGUCACGAGCAAAAAGAGAUGCUCGCAACCACAGGCGAAAUGACGUCAUUAAUCCAACGAAUUCCCGCACUUUGGGUAUAGACACAAGAAACCGAUCGCGGCCAAGAUGUUUCUCCUUCUCUUGAACCAAUUWCUGAAAAGGCAUGGCAGGUACAUAUUCGCUGCGCAAGCAGGGAAACGAUAUACCCAUACACACCGAGCACCACUCACGCGCUCUAU
Molecule: unclassified non-coding RNA, 489 nt
Filed under: Briggsiopsis delavayi
Lineage: Eukaryota; Viridiplantae; Streptophyta; Magnoliopsida; Lamiales; Gesneriaceae
Description: partial external transcribed spacer
Source: RNAcentral